This is a long non-coding RNA of Oncorhynchus tshawytscha (Chinook salmon), 1529 nucleotides long. NCBI's taxonomy places the organism in Eukaryota, Metazoa, Chordata, Actinopteri, Salmoniformes, Salmonidae. The record is from Ensembl.
UGGAGUACUGUAGGGGGUAAACACAGUGAUUGAGUAGUGUAGGGGGUAAACACAGUGAUGGAGUACUGUAGGGGUAAACACAGUGAUGGAGUACUGUAGGAGGUAAUCACAGUGAUGGAGUACUGUAGUGGUAAUCACAGUGAUGGAAUACUGUAGGGGGUAAACACAGUGAUGAGUACUGUGGGGGUAAACACAGUGAUGAGUACUGUAGGGGGUAAACACAGUGAUGAGUACUGUGGGGGUAAACACAGUGAUGAGUACUGUUGGGGGUAAACACAGUGAUGGAGUACUGUAGGGGUAAACACAGUGAUGAGUACUGUUGGGGGUAAACACAGUGAUGGAGUACUGUAGGGGUAAACACAGUGAUGGAGCUCUGUAGGGGUAAAACACAGUGAUGAGUCCUGUAAGGGGUAAACACAGUGAUGAGUACUGUAGGGGUAAACACAGUGAUGGAGCUCUGUAGGGGGUAAACACAGUGAUGAGUACUGUAAGGGGUAAAUACUGUGAAGGAGUUCUAUAGGGGGUAAACACAGUGAUGAGUACUGUAGGGGGUAAACUCAGUGCUGGAGCAAUGUAGGAGUAAACACAGUUAUGUAGUAUUUAAGGGGGUAAACACAGUAAAUGGAGUACUGUAGGGGCUAAACACUGUGAUGGAGUACUGUAGGAGUAAACACAUUGAUGGAGUACUCUAGGGGGUAAACACAGUGAUGUAGUACUGUAGGGUUAAACACAGUGAUGGAGUGCUGUAGGAGUAAACACAGUAAAUGGAGUACUGUAGGGGGUAAUCCCAGGGAUCGAGUACUGUAGGGGCUAAACACAGUGAUGGAGUACUGUAGGGGUAAACAAGGUGAUGGAGUACUGUAGGAGUAAACACAGUGAUGGAGUACUGUAGGAGUAAACAAAAUGAUGGAGUACUGUAGGGGUAAACACAGUGAUGGAGUACUCUAGGGGGUAAACACAGUGAUGAGUACUGUAGGGGUAAACACAGUGAUGAGUACUGUAGGGGUAAACACAGUGAUGGAGUACUGUUGGGGGUAAACACAGUGAUGGAGUACUGUAGGGGUAAACACAGUGAUGGAGUACUCUAGGGGGUAAUCCCAGGGAUCGAGUACUGUAGGGGCUAAACACAGUGAUGGAGUACUGUAGGGGUAAACACAGUGAUGGAGUACUCUAGGGGGUAAUCCCAGGGAUCGAGUACUGUAGGGGCUAAACACAGUGAUGGAGUACUGUAGGGGUAAACACGGUGAUGGAGUACUGUAGGAGUAAACACAUUGAUGGAGUACUGUAGGGGGUAAACACAGUGAUGGAGUACUGUAGGAGUAAACACAGUGAUGGAGUACUGUAGGAGUAAACACAGUGAUGGAGUACUGUAGGGGUAAACACAGUGAUUGAGUACUGUAGGGGGUAAACACAGUGAUGGAGUACUGUGGGGGUAAACACAAUAAAUUGAGUACUGUAGGGAGUAACACAGUGAUGGAGUAUUCUAGGGGGUAAACACAGUGAUGGAGUACUCUAGGGGGUAAACACAG